RNAcentral lists this ribosomal RNA (58 nucleotides) under uncultured Sebacinales. Its description in RNAcentral is "partial 28S ribosomal RNA". It matches the Rfam family "Eukaryotic large subunit ribosomal RNA", at positions 1 to 57 of the family's 3401-position model. Lineage: Eukaryota; Fungi; Basidiomycota; Agaricomycetes; Sebacinales. The record is from RNAcentral.
UUGACCUCAGAUCGAGUGGGACUACCCGCUGAACUUAAGCAUAUCAAUAAGCGGAGGA